UAGGGAAUCUUCGGCAAUGGACGGAANNNUGGACCGAGCAACGCCGCGUGAGUGAAGAAGGUUUUCGGAUCGUAAAGCUCUGUUGUAAGAGAAGAACGAGUGUGAGAGUGGAAAGUUCACACUGUGACGGUAUCUUACCAGAAAGGGACGGCUAACUACGUGCCAGCAGCCGCGGUAAUACGUAGGUCCCGAGCGUUGUCCGGAUUUAUUGGGCGUAAAGCGAGCGCAGGCGGUUAGAUAAGUCUGAAGUUAAAGGCUGUGGCUUAACCAUAGUACGCUUUGGAAACUGUUUAACUUGAGUGCAAGAGGGGAGAGUGGAAUUCCAUGUGUAGCGGUGAAAUGCGUAGAUAUAUGGAGGAACACCGGUGGCGAAAGCGGCUCUCUGGCUUGUAACUGACGCUGAGGCUCGAAAGCGUGGGGAGCAAACAGGAUUAGAUACCCUGGUAGUCCACGCCGUAAACGAUGAGUGCUAGGUGUUAGACCCUUUCCGGGGUUUAGUGCCGCAGCUAACGCAUUAAGCACUCCGCCUGGGGAGUACGACCGCAAGNUUG
This 551-nucleotide ribosomal RNA is filed under the name uncultured bacterium. RNAcentral describes it as "bacterial SSU rRNA". It matches the Rfam family "Bacterial small subunit ribosomal RNA", at positions 355 to 896 of the family's 1533-position model. The record is from RNAcentral.